Molecule: ribosomal RNA, 1194 nt
Filed under: Triticum aestivum (bread wheat)
Lineage: Eukaryota; Viridiplantae; Streptophyta; Magnoliopsida; Poales; Poaceae
Description: partial small subunit ribosomal RNA
Source: RNAcentral
AUGCAUCGGUUUGCAUGGUGGAGAUUGUGUGUUCCAAAGAAGGAAGGUGGGCUUGGUUUUAGAGACUUGCACAGUUUUAAUCUUCCAAAACAAUGUUGGCGACUAAUCCAGAACCCGGACUCUUUGUGUACACAAGUUCUAAAGGCAAAAUACUAUCCAGACGGAGAUAUCCUCAAAGCAGGUCCAAAGAAAGGUUCAUCCUUCACGUGGCAAAGCAUUAUAGUGGGCAUCCAGACUUUCAAUAGGGGUUGUAUAUGGCGAGUGGGAACGGGAUCAAAAAUUGAUAUUUGGCAGGACCCAUGGAUUGCAUCGAGUGUGACACAAAGGGUAAUCACUGAGAGGGGGGCAACACUGCUCACCAAAGUAGAAGAUCUAAAUGAUCCAUAUACGGGACAGUGGGAUGAAGACCUCAUUCGUGAUAUUUUCUCACCUGUGGAUGUACACAAAAUAUUACAUAUUCGGUUAUCUGCUAACUUGACAGAGGACUUUGUAGGAUGGAACUACACAUGCUCUGGCACCUUCUCUGUGAGGUCGGCGUACCACAGGGAAUUUGAACACCAGCAUGGAUCGCGCCUUAUGAGAGCUGAUGGACAAGGGAGGCAACAUAUAAAUGCGGUCUGGAAAGAUAUGUGGAGCCUUAAAAUACUGGGAAAAAUCAAGCAUUUUGCUUGGAAAGUAUUGCACGGAGUUCUCCCUUGUUUAGGAGUCCUAGAUAACUGGCAUAUCCCAUGUUCUCCACAAUGUCCAGUGUGCUCGGUUGGUGAUGAGGAUAUACAACAUUGUUUGUUUAAAUGUCGAAGAGCAACCAAAGUCUAGGACAGUUUGGGGCUGCUGCAAGACAUACAAAGAUUUGUCAUCGAAGAUAGAUCGGGAUCUAUAACCAUGGAGAUCAUCUCGAAAUUACGAGGCACUGAUGGAGAGAUACCAAAGGCAGAACUUGAUGUUAUUGCUGCAUGGUAUAUAUGGUGGCAGAGAGGACAGUCGGUGAAAGGGGUACAGGUUCAGAACCCAGAGAAAACUGCACUCUCGAUCAAGGUGUUAGCAACAAACUACAUUAGAUCGUUUAAGCCGAAUGGACCUGCUAGGAAGAUUGAUGAUUUAUGGAAAAAACCAGUGCAUGGGAUGGUAAAGAUAAAUGUUGACGCUGCUUUCCAGUCUGAGACACUCUCUGGCGCUUGUGGAGCGGUAGCUUGA